Molecule: RNA transcript, 773 nt
Organism: Cucurbita moschata (crookneck pumpkin)
Lineage: Eukaryota; Viridiplantae; Streptophyta; Magnoliopsida; Cucurbitales; Cucurbitaceae
Gene name: peptidyl-tRNA hydrolase, chloroplastic-like
Exons: 2
Source: RefSeq, a predicted model, not a curated record
GUUCAAUUAUAUAAUUGAUGUAUGGGAAUUAGAGGCAAAGAGGAAGAUAAAUUAGGUUAAAUUAAUUUUGGUUCCUCCCGCCAAUCCUCAAUCAGUCCAAUCUCUCUAUCAAACCAAAAUCACAGCCUCUUGUCUUGCCAUUGUUGUAUCUUCUCUUCCCCUCUUCAAAUCAUUCAAGAAACGCCCCACCAGAUAUGAAUAUUGCUGCUUCUCUAUCUUCACUCGCCGCCCUGCGCCUUCCUGUUUGUCUCCAUUGUUUCCGAACCUUCAGAACACCCAUUUCCUUCCCUUCUCUAUCCUUAAAUCCCCCAAGUUUGCAUAUCUUUUCGUCGAUGACUUCUUCCAUUACUGCGUCCAUGUCCACUUCCUCACCUCUGGCCCCCGAUCUGCUCGCUUUGGAGGAGAACAAGCCCGCGCCGCCGCCCAAGCCAUGGCUGAUCGUUGGCCUUGGGAAUCCCGGGAAGAAGUAUGAACGCACGCGCCAUAGUGUCCCCAUAUAGAGUGUUGUCUGGAUGCCCUUUAUUAAGACGAAUUGAAGCAUGGCAGUCCAUGAUGCCAUGAUUAAUUUUCCAGGUAGGUUUUGAGAUGGUGGAUGCUGUUGCUGUGGUUGAAGGGAUAUCCAUGAGUAGUACUUCCUUCAAAGCUCUGAUUGGGUAAGGUGUGCAGAUUUUAACAAACUCGUUGUUCUUACCUAGUGCUUUUUUACAAUUCUCGACAGUUGAUAAAAUUAAAAUAUCUGGUUAGAACUUAGAAGUACUAUCUAACCGCUAGUU